CGAGGCUCCGCCUCCAACGCUGUUUCCGGGUUCACUCUUUGACACCCAUGAUUAUCCUCCUCACGUCAGGAUUUAGUGCCGAUUUUUUGGUGCUGCUGAGUUCUGAGUCCACGGAGAGACGCUCGCUCGCGCUGAUUAGACGAGGACGCAGACGACGUAAAUUGUCCAACGUUGUGAUCAGAUGACAGUUUGAUAAGGGUCAACGGUGCAUCGUCUGCUUCUGAUCUGAAAUAUAUCUCUAAAAAAAGUCACUUGGGUGUCAAAACGCUGAAGCAAACAAUCUGAAAUCCACAAAGUCACGGCUUCCUGAUUGUUUUCACCUGUCAUCACACCUGUCUCCUAUGCUCAUCAGUGUCAGCCGCCCCUGAUUGGUCCCACCUGUGUCUUGUUACCAUGUGCUUAAAUUCCCCUGUCUCC
Pseudoliparis swirei is the source of this 417-nucleotide long non-coding RNA. RefSeq lists it as uncharacterized. The transcript has 3 exons. Lineage: Eukaryota; Metazoa; Chordata; Actinopteri; Perciformes; Liparidae. The record is from RefSeq and is a predicted model, not a curated record.